CCCGCUGAAUUUAAGCAUAUCAAUAAGCGGAGGAAAAGAAACUGGCAAGGAUUCCCCUAGGAACGGCGAGUGAAGCGGGAAGAGCUCAAAUUUAAAAUCUGGUGGGGUUGCAAAUCCGAGUUGUAGUCUGAAGAAACGUUUUCCAUGAAAAUCGAGGCACAAGUCCUUUGGAACAGGGCAUCAGAGAGGGUGAGAAUCCCGUCCAUGGUCUCGAAUCUUUCAUUUUGUGAUACGUUUUCUAAGAGUCAGGUUGUUCGGGAAUGCAGCCUAAAAUGGGUGGUAAAUUUCAUCUAAAGCUAAAUAUUGGCGAGAGACCGAUAGCGAACAAGUAGCGUGAGGGAAAGAUGAAAAGCACUUUGGAAAGAGAGUGAAACAGUACGUGAAAUUGUUGAAAGGGAAACGCUUGAAGUCAGUCGCGUCCGCCGGGAUUCAGCCUCACGGUGUACUUCCUGGUGGACGGGCCAGCAUCACUUUUGAUCAUCGGAAAAGGGCGAGAGGAAUGUGGCACCUCCGGGUGUGUUAUAGCGUCUUGUCGUAUACGGUGACCGGGGAGUGAGGACCGCCUUUGUAGGAUGCUGGCGUAAUGGCUUUAAACGACCCGUCUUGAAACACGG
Molecule: ribosomal RNA, 614 nt
Filed under: uncultured fungus
Lineage: Eukaryota; Fungi
Description: eukaryotic LSU rRNA
Rfam family: Eukaryotic large subunit ribosomal RNA
Source: RNAcentral